CCGUAGCCCAAGAGAUCGGGAUAACACCUGAAACAGAUGCUAAUACCGGAUAACAACAGAUGAUGCCUAUCAACUGUUUAAAAGAUGGUUCUGCUAUCACUCUUGGAUGGACCUGCGGUGCAUUAGCUAGUUGGUAGGGUAACGGCCUACCAAGGCGAUGAUGCAUAGCCGAGUUGAGAGACUGAUCGGCCACAUUGGGACUGAGACACGGCCCAAACUCCUACGGGAGGCAGCAGCU
RNAcentral lists this ribosomal RNA (238 nucleotides) under uncultured Lactobacillus sp. RNAcentral describes it as "partial 16S ribosomal RNA". It matches the Rfam family "Bacterial small subunit ribosomal RNA", at positions 125 to 355 of the family's 1533-position model. Lineage: Bacteria; Bacillati; Bacillota; Bacilli; Lactobacillales; Lactobacillaceae. The record is from RNAcentral.